CGACGGAGCUGCUUUGAGAAGUUUUCGGAUGGAUUUAAAACCCCUUAGUGGCGGACGGGUGAGUAACGCGUGGGUAACCUGCCUCACACUGGGGAUAACAGUUAGAAAUAGCUGCUAAUACCGCAUAAGCGCACAGUUCCGCAUGGAACAGUGUGAAAAACUCCGGUGGUGUGAGAUGGACCCGCGUCUGAUUAGCCAGUUGGCGGGGUAACGGCCCACCAAAGCGACGAUCAGUAGCCGGCCUGAGAGGGUGAACGGCCACAUUGGGACUGAGACACGGCCCAAACUCCUACGGGAGGCAGCAGUGGGGAAUAUUGCACAAUGGGGGAAACCCUGAUGCAGCGACGCCGCGUGAGUGAAGAAGUAUUUCGGUAUGUAAAGCUCUAUCAGCAGGGAAGAAAGUGACGGUACCUGAAUAAGAAGCCCCGGCUAACUACGUGCCAGCAGCCGCGGUAAUACGUAGGGGGCAAGCGUUAUCCGGAUUUACUGGGUGUAAAGGGAGCGUAGACGGCAAGGCAAGUCUGAAGUGAAAGCCCGGUGCUUAACGCCGGGACUGCUUUGGAAACUGUUUAGCUGGAGUGCCGGAGAGGUAAGCGGAAUUCCUAGUGUAGCGGUGAAAUGCGUAGAUAUUAGGAAGAACACCAGUG
This 647-nucleotide ribosomal RNA is filed under the name uncultured bacterium. RNAcentral describes it as "bacterial SSU rRNA". It matches the Rfam family "Bacterial small subunit ribosomal RNA", at positions 64 to 714 of the family's 1533-position model. The record is from RNAcentral.